UUUCCCUUUUUAGCAUUUCUUUUGGGACUUUGUUCCUACACGUUUUGGCUUGCUUAUAUGAAGCUUGUAUAGAGUUUUUAGGGACUCAUUCUUGUAAAAGACUUGGAGAAAUACAUAUAAAAAAAUUGGCACUUGCCUCCCAACUUAGCCUUCCAAUUUUGCCUUUGUUUGUUUUGUGUGGACAGUUUUGAUUAUCUUGCUGCUGCCUCAUUGUGUGAUUGUUUGGUUGUUAGGAUUGAGCAUUUGUAAAGCUGUGGAAGCCCUCACUUGCUGUCCAACAAGGUUGAGAAAAUAGCCCCGUGACAAGUGGUAUCAGAGCCUUGGUUAAGCAUGACGUCAAAGUCCCAACGGAACGAGGAGGCUGUCCAAGAGAAGGAGCUAAAAGUUCGGAGGGACAUUGCCAAGAAACGUGACAAGAGUAAGGCCCCUUCAAUGAAAAGGCAUCAGGAGAUCGGUAGUAGCAGAGAUGGACUGUAUUAAUUGUGUUCAAAGUGCUUGACGAACAACAUGGUCAAUUCUAAGACAAAUCCUAUUUCCUCUUCUAAUUGCAUUUGUAGUUCUAGUUUCAGUUUGCAUUCUGUUAUAGAUUCUUGUAGUAAGAAUGUUUCUCUUCAAGUUGCAUGUAAUGAAAGUGUUUCCUUCCAGUCUGUUCUUCCUUGCA
Molecule: long non-coding RNA, 661 nt
Organism: Solanum pennellii
Lineage: Eukaryota; Viridiplantae; Streptophyta; Magnoliopsida; Solanales; Solanaceae
Exons: 2
Source: RefSeq, a predicted model, not a curated record